This 497-nucleotide ribosomal RNA is filed under the name uncultured bacterium. RNAcentral's name for it is "partial 16S ribosomal RNA". It matches the Rfam family "Bacterial small subunit ribosomal RNA", at positions 28 to 507 of the family's 1533-position model. The record is from RNAcentral.
GAUGAACGCUGGCGGCGUGCCUAAUACAUGCAAGUCGAGCGAACAGACGAGGAGCUUGCUCCUCUGACGUUAGCGGCGGACGGGUGAGUAACACGUGGAUAACCUACCUAUAAGACUGGGAUAACUUCGGGAAACCGGAGCUAAUACCGGAUAAUAUAUUGAACCGCAUGGUUCAAUAGUGAAAGACGGUUUUGCUGUCACUUAUAGAUGGAUCCGCGCCGCAUUAGCUAGUUGGUAAGGUAACGGCUUACCAAGGCAACGAUGCGUAGCCGACCUGAGAGGGUGAUCGGCCACACUGGAACUGAGACACGGUCCAGACUCCUACGGGAGGCAGCAGUAGGGAAUCUUGCGCAAUGGGCGAAAGCCUGACGGAGCAACGCCGCGUGAGUGAUGAAGGUCUUCGGAUCGUAAAACUCUGUUAUUAGGGAAGAACAAAUGUGUAAGUAACUAUGCACGUCUUGACGGUACCUAAACAGAAAGCCACGGCUAACUACGUG